This 151-nucleotide unclassified non-coding RNA is filed under the name Parmelia sulcata. RNAcentral's name for it is "partial internal trancribed spacer 2". The record is from RNAcentral. Lineage: Eukaryota; Fungi; Ascomycota; Lecanoromycetes; Lecanorales; Parmeliaceae.
CACCCCUCAAGCAUAGCUUGGUAUUGGGCUCUCGCCCCCGCGGCGUGCCCGAAAAGCAGUGGCGGUCCGGUGUGACUUUAAGCGUAGUAAAUUUCUCCCGCUUUGAAAGUUCGCCCCGUGGCCUGCCAGACAACCCCAUAUUCUUCAAUAA